AGGAUGAACGCUGGCGGCGUGCUUAACACAUGCAAGUCGAACGGUGAAGCCAAGCUUGCUUGGUGGAUCAGUGGCGAACGGGUGAGUAACACGUGAGCAACCUGCCCUGGACUCUGGGAUAAGCGCUGGAAACGGCGUCUAAUACUGGAUAUGAGCCUCUUCCGCAUGGUGGGGGUUGGAAAGAUUUUUUGGUCUGGGAUGGGCUCGCGGCCUAUCAGCUUGUUGGUGAGGUAAUGGCUCACCAAGGCGUCGACGGGUAGCCGGCCUGAGAGGGUGACCGGCCACACUGGGACUGAGACACGGCCCAGACUCCUACGGGAGGCAGCAGUGGGGAAUAUUGCACAAUGGGCGAAAGCCUGAUGCAGCAACGCCGCGUGAGGGAUGACGGCCUUCGGGUUGUAAACCUCUUUUAGCAGGGAAGAAGCGAAAGUGACGGUACCUGCAGAAAAAGCGCCGGCUAACUACGUGCCAGCAGCCGCGGUAAUACGUAGGGCGCAAGCGUUAUCCGGAAUUAUUGGGCGUAAAGAGCUCGUAGGCGGUUUGUCGCGUCUGCUGUGAAAUCCCGAGGCUCAACCUCGGGCCUGCAGUGGGUACGGGCAGACUAGAGUGCGGUAGGGGAGAUUGGAAUUCCUGGUGUAGCGGUGGAAUGCGCAGAUAUCAGGAGGAACACCGAUGGCGAAGGCAGAUCUCUGGGCCGUAACUGACGCUGAGGAGCGAAAGGGUGGGGAGCAAACAGGCUUAGAUACCCUGGUAGUCCACCCCG
RNAcentral lists this ribosomal RNA (763 nucleotides) under Microbacterium aurantiacum. RNAcentral's name for it is "partial 16S ribosomal RNA". It matches the Rfam family "Bacterial small subunit ribosomal RNA", at positions 26 to 802 of the family's 1533-position model. Lineage: Bacteria; Bacillati; Actinomycetota; Actinomycetes; Micrococcales; Microbacteriaceae. The record is from RNAcentral.